This 217-nucleotide long non-coding RNA is filed under the name Gossypium raimondii (Peruvian cotton). Its description in RNAcentral is "long non-coding RNA (GRAI_LNC010041)". Lineage: Eukaryota; Viridiplantae; Streptophyta; Magnoliopsida; Malvales; Malvaceae. The record is from RNAcentral.
GUCGAGAGAGAAUGAGGGCGUUUUUUUUUUUGGAAAAAGAAGAGUAAACGAAUUUUUUUUUCUGAAAACCUUAGUUUUUAUACUGCUGCGAAAUGACACCGUUUCGUUCAAGGUUUUUUAAUGCCAAAACGGUGCCGUUUUAAGGCGACCCGUCUACGCGACCCAUGGACCCUAAAGAUCCGUGUGUUUUUGGACUGAGGGUCUAUUUACCUUUUCA